CCUGAACGCUGGCGGCGUGGCUAAGACAUGCAAGUCGUACGGAUGUAGCAAUACAUCAGUGGCGAACGGGUGAGUAAUGAAUCGCUAAUGUACCCCGGACUCUGGGAUAGCUGCCCGAAAGGGCAGGUAAUACCAGAUGAUAUAUCUUUAUCGCAUGAUAGAGAUCUCAAAGGUCCGCCGGUCUGGGAGCAGGCGAUUUUGUAUCAGCUAGUUGGUGAGGUAACGGCUCACCAAGGCGAUGACGCAUAGCCGGACUGAGAGGUUGGCCGGCCACAUUGGGACUGAGACACUGCCCAGACUCCUACGGGGGGCUGCAGUAACGAAUCUUCCGCAAUGCACGAAAGUGUGACGGAGCGACGCCGCGU
This 365-nucleotide ribosomal RNA is filed under the name uncultured bacterium. Its description in RNAcentral is "bacterial SSU rRNA". It matches the Rfam family "Bacterial small subunit ribosomal RNA", at positions 30 to 402 of the family's 1533-position model. The record is from RNAcentral.